CUCGGUUUUAAAAAUGCUCUGGUCAUGGAUUCUGCCGUCUCCUCUCUGCUUCUAAGGGACAUUUUUGAAAGAGAAGUGCAUUGUGCCUGAGACACCAGAGAGGGAGAAGAAAGAGGAGGAGGAAUGGAAGAUGCAUUAACCCUCUGCAGCCAGAGGCCAGCCAGAAGCUGUGGUGCAGCGGCACCCUGACCCGUCCGGCUCCGAUCACCAGGUGGUUCUGGUGGUUCGUUCUGAACGUGUUGGUCGUUUAUGGGCCCCUGAACCAGAGGAAGCUCUCAGUCUGAGUGUCAGUGGGUUGGUUAUAGGCUGUUACCAACGGUAACGACCCACACUAGGCAAAUAAACUCUCCUUAAUGAGAAUCAGGCC
This is a long non-coding RNA of Xiphophorus couchianus (Monterrey platyfish), 367 nucleotides long. RefSeq lists it as uncharacterized. The record is from RefSeq and is a predicted model, not a curated record. NCBI's taxonomy places the organism in Eukaryota, Metazoa, Chordata, Actinopteri, Cyprinodontiformes, Poeciliidae. The transcript has 3 exons.